Molecule: ribosomal RNA, 492 nt
Filed under: uncultured bacterium
Lineage: Bacteria
Description: partial 16S ribosomal RNA
Rfam family: Bacterial small subunit ribosomal RNA
Source: RNAcentral
AGUGAACGCUGGCGGUAGGCCUAACACAUGCAAGUCGAACGGCAGCACAGUAAGAGCUUGCUCUUACGGGUGGCGAGUGGCGGACGGGUGAGGAAUACAUCGGAAUCUACUUUUUCGUGGGGGAUAACGUAGGGAAACUUACGCUAAUACCGCAUACGACCUACGGGUGAAAGCAGGGGAUCUUCGGACCUUGCGCGAUUGAAUGAGCCGAUGUCGGAUUAGCUAGUUGGCGGGGUAAAGGCCCACCAAGGCGACGAUCCGUAGCUGGUCUGAGAGGAUGAUCAGCCACACUGGAACUGAGACACGGUCCAGACUCCUACGGGAGGCAGCAGUGGGGAAUAUUGGACAAUGGGCGCAAGCCUGAUCCAGCCAUACCGCGUGGGUGAAGGAGGCCUUCGGGUUGUAAAGCCCUUUUGUUGGGAAAGAAAAGCAGCAGGUUAAUACCCCGCUGUUCUGACGGUACCCAAAGAAUAAGCACCGGCCAACUUCGUG